AUGUAUUCUGUUCGUUUAAGGUAAACAGGCAAUAAAAAAGCAGGAAAUCCUUCCAAAUUGUGGGCUUUUUUGUUGUGUUUAUCUUUGCGGGCAAGGACAUGGAAAACAGGCGGGGUAUAGCCAUUUCAGGCUAUCCUUGUUGUUGUUUGUCUUUUUUCGUUGAUAUGCAGAUCGAAAGCCCAUCUAGAGGCUGGCGAUCUGCAUUUUUUAU
This 211-nucleotide non-coding RNA is filed under the name Desulfitobacterium hafniense Y51. RNAcentral describes it as "Enterococcus sRNA 1300". It matches the Rfam family "Enterococcus sRNA 1300". From Rfam's summary of the family: Expressed in mid and late exponential phases of growth. Expression remained uniform under daptomycin exposure. Lineage: Bacteria; Bacillati; Bacillota; Clostridia; Eubacteriales; Desulfitobacteriaceae. The record is from Rfam by way of RNAcentral.